RNAcentral lists this long non-coding RNA (875 nucleotides) under Elaeis guineensis (African oil palm). Its description in RNAcentral is "long non-coding RNA (EGUI_LNC078563)". The record is from RNAcentral. Lineage: Eukaryota; Viridiplantae; Streptophyta; Magnoliopsida; Arecales; Arecaceae.
UGAAUUAAGAAAAAAAUGGCGGUGUGAUUUCAAGAAAUAUUUUCAAGUCAUCAACAACAAAAAUGCUCCAACAGUUGAUCACCAUCUGGAUGCUACUCAACAAAGGAAAUUCUGAAAAUGGCAUUGCUCUGCUAAACUGUAACAAUGACACUUUGCAGCACACUAUAAUUUCCACAAAAAUUAACAACUUGUAUGUUUUUUUUUUUUUAUAUGGAAAUUAACAACUUGUAUGUUGAACGAAUGAACAGUCUCGACCAAAGAGCUAACUUUAUUUCCAAAGUUUCCUCAUUACAGAGUCUAAAAGUAAAUGCACAACACACCAACAGAACAAUAUAUCCCAAUUAAAUCUCAUGAUAUCCUUUUUCUUUCCCUCGAUAACCGAAUACAAGGAGCACAUCAACCUACUACAAAUCAAAGGAAGAAUCAUAUAAAUAUAAAUGGUAAUAAACGGCAGCAAGCAUGCUAGGGAUAUGAAAUCAGAAGCUAAGCCACUGCAAGCCUAUCAGGGUCCGUUGUCUUGGCUCUCAUGGAAUUUAGUUAUGAAGGCAGAGGCUUUCUUGUUGAUGUUCGGAUCGGCAACAAAUCCCAAUCGGUCCUCAUCACUGGGCCUGACUUUACUUGAGGUGCACCUCACCUCACCCUCAGCUUCUUCAUAGUGAGGAGAAAAGCAGCUGCAGAACGCGGAUUUGGAAGAGGACCCUCCCAUUUCUCUCUGGCUACCUGCUCUCUCCUGAGCUCCCACUCUUGGCACUCUUUGGUUGGGCCAGGGAUGCCCCUUCCCCCCAACCCAAUUUAUAGACGUGAGAGCUUUCCCUGAGCCAAUGGAGGCGGGGGGAGCCGCAUGGCCCGCACAAGAGUCGGUGCGCUUCGCAAAC